GUAAAAUUUGAGUCUUUUCGUCUUUCACCGUCGCUAAAGCAAAGAACUACUCCCACCCGGCGACUCCCCCCUCUCGCCCAAAUAUGAAGUCCUCCCUCUACGGAGCCCGAGACAUAUCCGCCCCUCUCAGAAGCGACUUCCGCCCCGCGCGCCGUGGCAGCUGUCACUGCUGUCACUUAGUCCGCACUCACGCCCCAUUUACGGCCGGAGGGCUCUGGAGCACAACUUUGACCGGAUGCCGAAUAAAACUCACCGUGAAGCAAGUCCCACUGGAUGAAAAUUUGGUCGUAGCAUUUCUCAGCUGUUCCUGGCUCCCCAAGACUCAACCAUGGAAGGUACAGAAAGGUGUGUGACAAGAAACUUACGGCUUUUAAUUCUGGCAGGAAGGACAAGGAAAACCAAGGAUAAAGAUUUGAUCAAGUUUUAUUAUUCUCCCACUGGAGAUGGGGGAGGGGGAAUCAGUCAUAUUUAAUAAACAUCUGUCUCCUCAUCCCUCC
Molecule: long non-coding RNA, 497 nt
Organism: Balaenoptera ricei (Rice's whale)
Lineage: Eukaryota; Metazoa; Chordata; Mammalia; Artiodactyla; Balaenopteridae
Exons: 2
Source: RefSeq, a predicted model, not a curated record